CAGCAAUGCCGCGAUGAGUGAAGAAGGCCUUCGGGUUGUAAAGCUCUUUUGUCAGGGAAGAAACGGUAAGGGCUAAUAUCUCUUGCUAAUGACGGUACCUGAAGAAUAAGCACCGGCUAACUACGUGCCAGCAGCCGCGGUAAUACGUAGGGUGCAAGCGUUAAUCGGAAUUACUGGGCGUAAAGCGUGCGCAGGCGGUUUUGUAAGUCUGUCGUGAAGGCCCCGGGCUCAACCUGGGAAUUGCGAUGGAGACUGCAAGGCUUGAAUCUGGCAGAGGGGGGUAGAAUUCCACGUGUAGCAGUGAAAUGCGUAGAGAUGUGGAGGAACACCGAUGGCGAAGGCAGCCCCCUGGGUCAAGAUUGACGCUCAUGCACGAAAGCGUGGGGAGCAAACAGGAUUAGAUACCCUGGUAGUCCACGCCCUAAACGAUGUCUACUAGUUGUCGGGUUUUAAUUAACUUGGUAACGCAGCUAACGCGUGAAGUAGACCGCCUGGGGAGUACGGUCGCAAGAUUA
This 515-nucleotide ribosomal RNA is filed under the name uncultured bacterium. RNAcentral's name for it is "bacterial SSU rRNA". It matches the Rfam family "Bacterial small subunit ribosomal RNA", at positions 389 to 896 of the family's 1533-position model. The record is from RNAcentral.